GAUGAACGCUGGCGGCGUGCCUAACACAUGCAAGUCGAGCGUGAUUUAUGAGGACGAAACUUCGGUCUAGGAAUCAUAAUGAAAGCGGCGGACGGGUGAGUAACGCGUAGGCAACCUGCCCUUGACACAGGGAUAGCCUCGGGAAACCGGGAUUAAAACCUGAUGACGCCAAACAGUCACAUGGCUGUUUGGCCAAAGAUUUAUCGGUCAAGGAUGGGCCUGCGUCUGAUUAGUUAGUUGGUGGGGUAACGGCCUACCAAGACGACGAUCAGUAGCCGACCUGAGAGGGUGAUCGGCCACAUUGGAACUGAGACACGGUCCAAACUCCUACGGGAGGCAGCAGUGGGGAAUAUUGCACAAUGGGCGAAAGCCUGAUGCAGCAACGCCGCGUGAGCGAUGAAGGCCUUUGGGUCGUAAAGCUCUGUCCUUGGGGAAGAAACAAAUGACGGUACCCAAGGAGGAAGCCCCGGCUAACUACGUG
RNAcentral lists this ribosomal RNA (481 nucleotides) under uncultured bacterium. RNAcentral's name for it is "bacterial SSU rRNA". It matches the Rfam family "Bacterial small subunit ribosomal RNA", at positions 28 to 507 of the family's 1533-position model. The record is from RNAcentral.